RNAcentral lists this ribosomal RNA (142 nucleotides) under Roseburia inulinivorans. RNAcentral describes it as "partial 16S ribosomal RNA". It matches the Rfam family "Bacterial small subunit ribosomal RNA", at positions 1 to 122 of the family's 1533-position model. Lineage: Bacteria; Bacillati; Bacillota; Clostridia; Lachnospirales; Lachnospiraceae. The record is from RNAcentral.
UUUAACAUGAGAGUUUGAUCCUGGCUCAGGAUGAACGCUGGCGGCGUGCUUAACACAUGCAAGUCGAACGAAGCACUUUGAUCGAUUUCUUCGGAUUGAAAUUUUAGUGACUGAGUGGCGGACGGGUGAGUAACGCGUGGGU